Molecule: long non-coding RNA, 368 nt
Filed under: Ananas comosus (pineapple)
Lineage: Eukaryota; Viridiplantae; Streptophyta; Magnoliopsida; Poales; Bromeliaceae
Description: long non-coding RNA (ACOM_LNC026604)
Source: RNAcentral
AAAUACAGAGAAUCCGCUAUUCACAUAGACAGAGUCUCUCCUGUAUUUGCACGGCAUCCAAUAAGUACAAGAUACAACCACAACAGUAUGACAUUCACAUACAUCCACCAUUCACAUUCACCAUUAAUUUCAUCACAGAUAUUCAUAAAUUUAAAUCUAUUAGUUUAUAACAUUUCCUACAUGGAAACUCAUUUUGAAACACUAAGAGUCAUGAAAACCAAGAAAAUCUUUCCAAAACCAUUUCUCACACGGAAACCAUUUUCUUCUAAAACACGAUGCUACGACUCAUCUCACAAGAAAACCAUAAUUUUUUUAUUACAUUCACAAAAUCCCAUUUAUCCAAAUAAAGUAAACCACUGAACCAAUAA